Long non-coding RNA from Gossypium arboreum, 258 nucleotides. RefSeq lists it as uncharacterized. The record is from RefSeq and is a predicted model, not a curated record. Lineage: Eukaryota; Viridiplantae; Streptophyta; Magnoliopsida; Malvales; Malvaceae. The transcript has 2 exons.
GUAUUGGUAACGCGGAUGCUCGUCAGCCAGCUUUGGUGUAUGCUGCUCGUCGCCGCGAGGAGGGUGACGCACCUGAUGUCAUAACUGGUGAGCCCUAGUUGGUGGACUUGGAGCUGGGCGAGAUUCAGAGUGGCCAUGAAGAUGGAUUGCCAAUUUUAAAUAAGUUUAGCAUUUAAUUUGGAUUAUUUUAUUUUUAUUAUGUUUAAAGUUGUAAUAAGGCCGCUCUUUUUAAUUAUUUUUAUUUUGGGGAUUAUUAAA